CAAAGGAAUGUUCGAUUUCAUCCACCGCACGGUCCGUGAAGAAGGCGUUUUAUCCCUGUGGAGAGGCAACGGGAGCAGCGUGCUCCGCUACUACCCUUCCGUGGCUCUCAACUUCUCCCUCAAGGACCUCUACAGAAACAUCCUCCGCAACAGCAGCUCUCAGGAGAGUCACGUCUUCUCCGGGGCCUUAGCUAACUUCAUCGCUGGCUCCGCGGCGGGAUGCACGGCUUUGAUUGUUGUUUACCCUCUUGAUAUAGCUCACACGCGUUUGGCUGCUGACGUUGGGAAGAAGGAGGCUCGUCAGUUCAGAGGGAUUCAUCAUUUCUUGACGACGGUUCAGAGGAAAGACGGUGUUAGAGGGAUCUACAGAGGGUUGCCUGCGUCUCUGCACGGUGUGAUUGUUCACCGUGGGCUGUACUUUGGUGGGUUUGAUACGGUUAAGGAGGUUUUGUCUGAAGAUAAGGAGUUGGCGUUGUGGAAGAGAUGGGUUUUGGCUCAGGGUGUGACUACUUCUGCUGGUUUGGCUUCUUACCCGUUGGAUACGGUUAUAACACGCAAGAGACCCGAAUCAGUCUCCAAUCACAAUUUCUAGGGUUAAUUUGGAAUCUCCUUUGCUCGUGUACAAUGCCAGAUUGAACCAAAUCAAAACCAACCCCCAAAGUUUCGAUUUUUAAUAAACCCAAUUGCCUCCGCUCGCUAAAAAGAUCGAAACUUUACCAUCGCAUUAUCAAAGAUGGGCAUCCAAGAAGACCCCGGCGCUCACUCGUCAACCCGAAGGAACCCAUCAUCGCUUCCACAGACUCUCAAACAUUUCCACCGAGACCUACUCGCCGGAGCCGUCAUGGGAGGCGUCGUCCACACCAUCGUCGCCCCAAUCGAGAGAGCCAAGCUCCUCCUCCAGACCCAGGAGAGCAACAUCGCCAUCGUCGGAGACUCCUCCGGGAAGAGACGCUUCAAAGGAAUGUUCGAUUUCAUCCACCGCACGGUCCGUGAAGAAGGCGUUUUAUCCCUGUGGAGAGGCAACGGGAGCAGCGUGCUCCGCUACUACCCUUCCGUGGCUCUCAACUUCUCCCUCAAGGACCUCUACAGAAACAUCCUCCGCAACAGCAGCUCUCAGGAGAGUCACGUCUUCUCCGGGGCCUUAGCUAACUUCAUCGCUGGCUCCGCGGCGGGAUGCACGGCUUUGAUUGUUGUUUACCCUC
This 1202-nucleotide long non-coding RNA is filed under the name Brassica napus (rape). RNAcentral describes it as "long non-coding RNA (BNAP_LNC008753)". Lineage: Eukaryota; Viridiplantae; Streptophyta; Magnoliopsida; Brassicales; Brassicaceae. The record is from RNAcentral.